Molecule: non-coding RNA, 195 nt
Organism: Podarcis lilfordi (Lilford's wall lizard)
Lineage: Eukaryota; Metazoa; Chordata; Lepidosauria; Squamata; Lacertidae
Source: the annotation of a GenBank genome assembly
AAAUUCCUCCUGAGGUUUAGUCAGAAUCUCUUUCCUCGUAAUUUGAAGCCAUGGGUUCGAGUCCUACCCUCCGGAGCAGGAGAAAACAAGCUUGCUCCAUCUCCCAUGGGACAGCCCUUGAGAUAUUUGAAGAUUGCUUUCAUAUCUCCUCUCAGUCUCCUCUUCUCCAGGCUAAACAUGCCCAGCUCCUUCAAC